RNAcentral lists this ribosomal RNA (389 nucleotides) under uncultured Sphingobacteriales bacterium. RNAcentral's name for it is "bacterial SSU rRNA". It matches the Rfam family "Bacterial small subunit ribosomal RNA", at positions 992 to 1382 of the family's 1533-position model. Lineage: Bacteria; Pseudomonadati; Bacteroidota; Sphingobacteriia; Sphingobacteriales. The record is from RNAcentral.
UGACGUGUAGGUGAAAGCUUACUAUCUCUUCGGAGCAUUUUACGAGGUGCUGCAUGGUUGUCGUCAGCUCGUGCCGUGAGGUGUCGGGUUAAGUCCCAUAACGAGCGCAACCCUACCUUUAGUGCCAUCAGGUAAUGCUGGGGACUCUAAAGGAACUGCCUACGCAAGUAGUGAGGAAGGCGGGGAUGACGUCAAAUCAGCACGGCCCUUACGUCCAGGGCUACACACGUGCUACAAUGGCCGAUACAGAGGGCAGCUACCUGGUGACAGGAUGCAAAUCUCCAAAGUCGGUCUCAGUUCGGAUCGGAGUCUGCAACCCGACUCCGUGAAGUUGGAUUCGCUAGUAAUCGCGCAUCAGCCAUGGCGCGGUGAAUACGUUCCCGGGCCUU